RNAcentral lists this long non-coding RNA (1785 nucleotides) under Corvus moneduloides (New Caledonian crow). Its description in RNAcentral is "lncRNA (ENSCMUG00000020174.1)". Lineage: Eukaryota; Metazoa; Chordata; Aves; Passeriformes; Corvidae. The record is from RNAcentral.
AUGGCUUUGUCCCCCCUUCUCUACCAAGGGAAAAUGGUUUGGAAUGCAGAAAUUUCAACAUCUACGCUCAUUUUUUGUCCUGUAUUUUUUAUUAAAAUCCUGCGCCACUGUUGCAGUGCCCUGGCCCAGCCCUGGUCCUACACAGUAGGAUGGGCUGGACCACGGGUCCCCCUUCCUGGUGUUCCCAAGGUGGGUGAUGGCAACUCCCAUCCCCCUCCCCGAACAGAAAAUAAAUUAGAAAGAAUUAAAAAAAAAAAAGCAAAACCAGGGGGAUUGGAGACAUGGAGACCUUGUCACUGCAGUCUGGGGACACGGGGACCCCUGUCACCUCUGGGGUGUCUGCUGGGAGACACAGGGACCCCCACCACCCUGCUGGGGGCUGUCCUGGUGACAUGGGGACCCUCACGGCUCUACAGGGAGCUGGUGCAGUGGCGACCCUGCCCCCCAGGGACGGUGACACCUCGAAGCCCCCCGGCUGCAGUUGGGGGAUGUCCCGGGAGGAGCUCAGGGCCGCCCCGGGGCCGUGGGCAGCAGCAGCGGCUUGGGGAGCGUGGGGGGCUUCAUGGACAGGGAGCGCUCCAGGGUGCCGGGCCGGGGUGCCCAGGGUGUCCCCCCCGGUGUCCCCAGCGAGUGCAUGCGGGUGAGGCCCCGCGGCGGCCCGGGGGGACUCACGGGGGUCCCCCCCAGCGAGUGGCUCUGUGCCAGCGGCCGCCGCGGGGCCGGGGGGCUAUCGGGGGGCACGUCCAGGCGCACCGGGGCUCGGUCGUGGGGGGCGAAGAGCGACCCGGGCCCCGCGGCGCGCGGCUGCACCCGGUUGGCGAAGGACCCGGUGCCCGGAGGGGUCACGGGCCACCCCGAGCCCCCCGAGCUCCCGUGCAGCCGCUGCAGCAGCUCCUCCAGAGACGCCUUGACCGGGGGUCCCGGCCCGGGGGGCUCCGGGCAGCCCACGGGGCCCAGCGGGACGGAGUGACCGCGCCGGAGCUCCCGCUCGCGGGGUGCCCGGGCCGGGGGCAGCGCGGGGGGCUCGGGGCACGGCGGCUCGGGGGCGUCCCGCAAGGCGCCGGCCCCGCCCUGGGGCGGCAGCGCGGGGUAGAGGCGGGGGACGGGCGGCUGGGCCGGGGUCCGCGGGGCGCAGGGCGGCUCCGAGGGGGUCUUGGGCACGGCGGGGCGCUGGCAGCAGAUGGCCACCAGCCCGGUGGCCAGGGCCCCCAGGACGAAGGCGCCCAGCACGCAGCCCACGAGCACCGGUACCGGCACCGUCGCUGCGGCCCCCGGCCCGGGGUGCCGCACCUCUGCGGGACCACUCGUCAGCCCAGAGGCAAUGGGAGGUCCGGUACCCCCCCGCCCAGAGCCCCCCCGGUCCCACUCACACUCCUGGGGUUCCCUCUCCCAGAGUCCUCCCGUCCCUGGGGUCCCACUCCCAUCCCUGGGGUCCUUCCUUGUCCCUAUGGUCCACCCUCAUCCCUCUCCUGUUCCUGGAGUCCCUCCUGGUCACUGGGGUCCCCCCACCCCAGGGUGUUUCUCCUUCCCUGGGGUCCCUCUCCUGUCCCUGGGGGUCUCAUGUUUGUCUCUGGAGUCCUCCCGACGCCUCAGUCCCUCCCCAGUCCGUGCAGUCCCCCCUCCCCACUCCCUGGGGUCUCUCCUGCUCCCUGGGAUCCCUCUCUCACCCCUGGGACACCCCUCCCUGGUCCCCGGGGUCCCUCCCCAGAGUACCCAGACAAUGUCACUGACCAUGGACCACAUCCCCAUCCUCGUCGCCAUCCCCUGCAGCCGUUGCCCCUGUGA